Molecule: ribosomal RNA, 253 nt
Filed under: uncultured bacterium
Lineage: Bacteria
Description: partial 16S ribosomal RNA
Rfam family: Bacterial small subunit ribosomal RNA
Source: RNAcentral
UACGUAGGUGACAAGCGUUGUCCGGAUUUAUUGGGCGUAAAGAGCUCGUAGGCGGCCUGCCACGUCGGAUGUGAAAGCUCAGGGCUUAACCCUGAGAGGCCAUUCGAUACGGGCAGGCUAGAGGUAGGUAGGGGAAAGUGGAAUUCCCGGUGUAGCGGUGAAAUGCGCAGAUAUCGGGAGGAACACCAAUGGCGAAGGCAGCUCGCUGGGACGUUACUGACGCUGAGACGCGAAAGCGUGGGGAGCAAACAGG